Molecule: ribosomal RNA, 497 nt
Filed under: uncultured bacterium
Lineage: Bacteria
Description: partial 16S ribosomal RNA
Rfam family: Bacterial small subunit ribosomal RNA
Source: RNAcentral
GAUGAACGCUGGCGGCGUGCCUAAUACAUGCAAGUCGAGCGAACGGACGAGAAGCUUGCUUCUCUGAUGUUAGCGGCGGACGGGUGAGUAACACGUGGAUAACCUACCUAUAAGACUGGGAUAACUUCGGGAAACCGGAGCUAAUACCGGAUAAUAUUUUGAACCGCAUGGUUCAAAAGUGAAAGACGGUCUUGCUGUCACUUAUAGAUGGAUCCGCGCUGCAUUAGCUAGUUGGUAAGGUAACGGCUUACCAAGGCAACGAUGCAUAGCCGACCUGAGAGGGUGAUCGGCCACACUGGAACUGAGACACGGUCCAGACUCCUGCGGGAGGCAGCAGUAGGGAAUCUUCCGCAAUGGGCGAAAGCCUGACGGAGCAACGCCGCGUGAGAGAUGAAGGUCUUCGGAUCGUAAAACUCUGUUAUUAGGGAAGAACAUAUGUGUAAGUAACUGUGCACAUCUUGACGGUACCUAAUCAGAAAGCCACGGCUAACUACGUG